Molecule: non-coding RNA, 2590 nt
Organism: Podarcis lilfordi (Lilford's wall lizard)
Lineage: Eukaryota; Metazoa; Chordata; Lepidosauria; Squamata; Lacertidae
Source: the annotation of a GenBank genome assembly
AAAGGCAUACAACUUGGCUGUUCCAUGGGCCUCUUUACAAGUGAUGUUGUUUCUGUACCUAGGAAAAAUAUUCUGUGGAGGGAAGUUAUCCGGCACACCAUCACCAUAGAAGCGUGGUGGAAAUAUUUAUUUUGCCCUAUGCGGAAGAGUCACGUUGAUGAUGCAGACAGUGUGAAAAACGUCCCUGAAAGCCUUGGGUGUGUGUAUGUGAAAAUGCUUUCUUUUUUUUAAACAGGGGACUGCGAUGCAAAGUCUACAACAGGCAGCUGUCUGCAAAUGCCCCUUUUCUGCUUUUUCCCAACAGCAAUAAGCAACGAUGGGAAAACACACGAGAGGUAUCUGAAUGUGCCUCUGAAACGCUUUCUCCAAACAGCUCAUCGAUUCAAAGUGCCAGAUAUUGCCUUUUCAAGUGCUUUCUGGAACACAACAGAAAAUGAUCUCCGCAGAACCACCUGAUGAAAAUUGGCCACAAUUUUGUUCACUGUCCGCUAAGAGAGCUUGAGGCUGAAAAUGACUCCGUGAAUGGUGAUUUCCUGGAUAUGGCAGUUAUUAAAGCAUUGUUUGUGGCUGGGGAGGCGGAGAAGCCAUUUUUAAUGGAAGAAUCCAGCUGAUUGCAGAAAACAUCUUUCCUUGUGCAAAAUGAAAUAUACCUAGUUGGGUAACAAGUGCAGGACGGAGGUGUUAAGGAAAAUUGGCAAGGCUUCCCCUGGAAUACAAAAUGUUGCAGAGAGAUUUUGUCUGCAAUCAGCAUUUGGCUUAUUUGAUCCACAAACAACAGUAGUUUUAAACCAUGAUGGCAGGAAGUGCUUUUUGCACUUCCUGUUUCCCAAGUACAUGAGUCUUGCCCAUGGGAGCGACAUCUGAAAAGCAUAAGUUUUUGUGGAUUAGUAUGCAAAUAACUUCUUACAAAUGGUGCUAAAUCUGUAAACUAAUCUCCCAGGAUCCAUAAAGGCAUUGGGUUGUCUCCAACUAUCUACUCAGUGUAGGACCAUUGAAUUGAGUAGACCUACAGUAGCUGUGAUUUCAAUGGACCUACUCUGAGCAGGACUAGGGAUGACUGGGUCUGUUAAUUUCUGUUUCUCUUUCUUGGAGCCUUUGCUUCUCCAGAUUUCUGCAUCAGUUUGCAAUUUAUUUAUUUUUUUUAAAAAGUCUGCAGGAAAAUUCACCAGCAUCUUAGUGCAAAUUCCUCCCUAACAUACAUGUUUUUGUAUGCAAUUUUGCCUGAUAAACACAUUUUAUAACUUAUUUUCACUAACAUAUGCGGUGCUGUGCACGCAUUUUCCUAAUAUAUAUAUUAUUUGAUUGGAGAACUGCGUUGUGAAAUUCAGAGAACUGUGAAUUUUGAAGGACAGCUGCAUUUCAGUUUGCAUAUUGUUUCUGAAAGCGCGGAUCAGAGAGAAUCUCCGUAAAAUUUGAACGGAACCGAAUUUCUCCUCCGUCCCUAAUUAUGACUACCUUUGGAUACAAGCCAUGAGAUAUGAGUUUGAUGGUCUUCUGCAAUGACUUCACAUGAAAACAACUCAGAACCUACUCACCCUCAAAAAAGACGUUUGCACAUGAAAGAAAGCAUAAAACUGAUACAGAGAAUAAUUCUAUUCUCUUUUAACUAGAGAGUCUAUAUUGUGCUAAUAGAAGAAUAAUUCUUUUUUUGAAGAAGCCCAGCAGACCUGGGGUUUUUUGACAUGUAUUGACACUUAUGGAAGUCAGUGCUGGUCUUUGAAUUCAGCUGCAGGCUGGACUUCCCAGCUCGAAUGAAAACCAUUUGCGGUCUCCGAGCUCCAGAAGGAUCUGCCCUAGACUUCUGUCUUGCAAAAGACUCUGGUGAGUUGCUGAGAGAGAGUGUGUUGUUUGAUGCCAGAGAACUGUAGUAGCCAAACAAGGAAGGCAUCCAGUUUCUCAGGUGUGUUAGCUGCACAAAAGUCAAGCCUCUGAUCUCCCUGCUUGGAUAAUUCUCUGAAAACCAGCGAGAAGCCUUUGGCAAUUCUUCAGCGCCCUCUCUCGUUUUCUCUUAACAGGGAAGAGGCCGAGGAAGAUGAGGGUUAAAGAAGGUAGCGGUCGCCUCAGGUGAGUGACACAGCCCUUUGUGUUGUGGGUUGACCGUUUAUGUUUUGAGCAGAUUGUCAAACACAGCGGCAUGGAAGCUGCAGCCCUCGAGACGUUGCGCUCCAACUCCCAGAGCAUCUGCUUAUCGGGGAGAUGUCCCCUAGGUUCAAUCCCCAAUGAUAGGGCUGGGGGAAAAGACUCCCUGCAGGAAACCCCCUACCAGUCCGUGCAGACAAUACUGAGCGGAAUGGACCAACAGUCUGGGUAUAAGGCAGCCUCCUACACUUUUAGCUCCCAGCAGGGCCAGUGGUCUGGGGAGCGAUGGGAGUUGGAAUCCAAAAGCAUCUUGAGGGCCACAGCUUCUUCACCGCUUAUCUAGCAGGACGGCUGAAAUACUUCAGAGCAAAACUGAAAACUAACCACCCUCUGCCCACCCCCACCCCCAGUCUCCCUCACAUACACCGAGGACAGACAACAGCUAGAGAUGUCACCGUGUAUCUCUUAAUUCGGAGAUUCAACAAAACACUUUGCAUCAGUUACAUAUUAC